RNAcentral lists this ribosomal RNA (608 nucleotides) under uncultured bacterium. RNAcentral describes it as "bacterial SSU rRNA". It matches the Rfam family "Bacterial small subunit ribosomal RNA", at positions 51 to 672 of the family's 1533-position model. The record is from RNAcentral.
ACACAUGCAAGUUGAACGAAGUACCUUGAGUUUACUCUUGGUAACUUAGUAGCGGACCGGUGAGUAACGCGUGAAUAACCUACCUUUGUGAGGGGGACAACAGCUGGAAACGGCUGCUAAUACCGCAUAAGGCCACAGCAUCGGGUGAUGCAGUGGUAAAAGAUUUAUCACACAAAGAUGGAUUCGCGUCCCAUUAGCUAGUUGGUGAGGUAACGGCCCACCAAGGCAACGAUGGGUAGCCGACCUGAGAGGGUGAUCGGCCACACUGGAACUGAGACACGGUCCAGACUCCUACGGGAGGCAGCAGUGGGGAAUAUUGGGCAAUGGGCGAAAGCCUGACCCAGCAACGCCGCGUGAGGGAAGAAUGUCUUCGGAUUGUAAACCUCUGUCCUUGGGGACGAAAAAAAUGACGGUACCCAAGGAGGAAGCUCCGGCUAACUACGUGCCAGCAGCCGCGGUAAUACGUAGGGAGCAAGCGUUGUCCGGAAUUAUUGGGCGUAAGGGUGCGUAGGCGGUUUAUCAAGUCAGAUGUGAAAUACCCAGCUUAACUUGGGAGGUGCAUUUGAAACUGAUAGACUUGAGUAAAGAAGAGGUAAGUGGAAUUCCUA